AGAGGAUCCAAAGCAAUUGAAAAAAUUAGAAUUAAAAGAGGAGGAGAUUUGUUUUCGGUCUAAUAAAAAAGGUUUCAUUUUUGAGAUUCUUUCAUCUUUGUUUGUGUUGUGGAUCACCAAAAAAGAAAAAAUUUAUUGAUUCCAUCAGAAGAUAUUAAACGUUUUAGAAAAACGCAUGCACCAUCAAAAUUCACAUUCAUGAGUUUGGAGAUUCAUUCAUCUAUUUUGAUCAAAUUAUUCAUGGCUUUAAAAUCUGAUGCAAAGAUAGCCGUGAUCAUGAUCAAGAAUACAGGGUUCAUGUAAUAGACCUGGGUUGUGAGGAAGGGGUGGUUAGGGAAGUUUAUUAUUAUUGUAAGGGUAAGAUGGGUACUUGUGUUAUGAGUAGCAUUUUUGCUGUUUAGGCCGAGUGGAUGUUGUAAUCCAGGCAAUCAAGUAAUGAAAUGAAAUAUUGUUCUUCUCUCCAAAA
Long non-coding RNA from Papaver somniferum (opium poppy), 466 nucleotides. RefSeq lists it as uncharacterized. The record is from RefSeq and is a predicted model, not a curated record. Lineage: Eukaryota; Viridiplantae; Streptophyta; Magnoliopsida; Ranunculales; Papaveraceae. The transcript has 2 exons.